This 75-nucleotide transfer RNA is filed under the name Elizabethkingia meningoseptica. Its description in RNAcentral is "tRNA-OTHER". Lineage: Bacteria; Pseudomonadati; Bacteroidota; Flavobacteriia; Flavobacteriales; Weeksellaceae. The record is from RNAcentral.
GGAUUAUAGCCGUUAGGGGCUAGAGCGUCCCGAUUUGUAUCGGGAAGGUCAAGGGUUCGACUCCCUUAUUCUCCA